AUUGAACGCUGGCGGCAGGCCUAACACAUGCCAGUCGAGCGGAUGAAGGGAGCUUGCUCCUGGAUUCAGCGGCGGACGGGUGAGUAAUGCCUAGGAAUCUGCCUGGUAGUGGGGGAUAACGUCCGGAAACGGGCGCUAAUACCGCAUACGUCCUGAGGGAGAAAGUGGGGGAUCUUCGGACCUCACGCCAUCAGAUGAGCCUAGGUCGGAUUAGCUAGUUGGUGGGGUAAAGGCCUACCAAGGCGACGAUCCGUAACUGGUCUGAGAGGAUGAUCAGUCACACUGGAACUGAGACACGGUCCAGACUCCUACGGGAGGCAGCAGUGGGGAAUAUUGGACAAUGGGCAAAAGCCUGAUCCAGCCAUGCCGCGUGUGUGAAGAAGGUCUUCGGAUUGUAAAGCACUUUAAGUUGGGAGGAAGGGCAGUAAGUUAAUACCUUGCUGUUUUGACGUUACCAACAGAAUAAGCACCGGCUAACUUCGUG
RNAcentral lists this ribosomal RNA (484 nucleotides) under uncultured bacterium. RNAcentral describes it as "partial 16S ribosomal RNA". It matches the Rfam family "Bacterial small subunit ribosomal RNA", at positions 30 to 507 of the family's 1533-position model. The record is from RNAcentral.